Molecule: long non-coding RNA, 1062 nt
Organism: Ostrea edulis (European flat oyster)
Lineage: Eukaryota; Metazoa; Mollusca; Bivalvia; Ostreida; Ostreidae
Exons: 3
Source: RefSeq, a predicted model, not a curated record
AGCCUAGUCCUAAAGUUGCGAAUAGUGAGAUUCGUUUUCAUCUGCCCGUGCAAACUUCCACCAGAGUUCGUUUGCUCACAUUCGUAGGCACUGUGACGUAAUGAGGCCUCGACGAGGAGUUUGCUGCCCGUGUAGCCUUAGUACGUAAGUCCUCGAGCUCGCGCUUCAUACUUCACCGCAUAUGCAGUAGGCUGUGACGUCAUAGCUACUGCCCGUGUAGCACAUUCGUAUUUUCACGUGAAAUUAUUUUUCGGAAUUCCGCACACCGUCAUAGAGUAGUUGAAAAACAAAAAGGGGUUCCGAAAGUACAAGUUGUUGCUGUGACUGACUCGAUGAUUGAGAGGGUCGUCUCGACGAAAGAUAGAGAAAUUUGGCCAUAGUUUAGAUUAGGAAUACGUCAACGUAAUAAUAGUGGACCAAAUGUUUCGUCCGUGAAGAAUGGCACUUUUUACCUCACGAAAUUCACCACCAUGCAUAGCUACACUACGUAAACAAAGUUGUUGAUGUAGCGUGAUCGUGAUGUCCGAGUGCUGCAAGUUUCAAUACUGUUUAUGUAGUCAUUGAGAGUUUAAACAAAGUUUCUUCUGAGAAGAGGAAUUCGAUGGAUGCAUUCAACGUGGACAACGAAAUCAUUAUUUCGUUUGCAUCAUCCUAAGGACCAGUGCAAGUUGAAAUGGGCUCCGAGCCAACAACUUCAACAGCAAUUUGCCAUGAAAAUCAGCAAGAAAGGUACUUCAUUUACAUUGAUGAUGUCAUACCCCCUGGACACCACAACUUUACAGGUUACAGAGAAAAUUCAAGAACUUCUGCAAAAUGUGGGAUUUGGAUAGAAUCAAUUAAUGUAUUUGUGAUCCCAGAGCAAUGGAUAUAUUGUGCAACAUACUAAAGUGUGAAUUUAAUGGAAAACAAGUACAUGUACUCAUGUAUUACAUGUCUUUCUUAAAGACAAUAAUAUUGCAUAAAUAUAGAGGAAGUGUCAUUGUUGAUUAUUCUAAGUUUUUGAUAUAUCAAAAUCAGUAAACAAUUCUAAAUGAAAAUAAAAUACCAAUUUCAUAACUUUAA